Molecule: ribosomal RNA, 253 nt
Filed under: uncultured bacterium
Lineage: Bacteria
Description: partial 16S ribosomal RNA
Rfam family: Bacterial small subunit ribosomal RNA
Source: RNAcentral
UACGUAGGUGGCAAGCGUUGUCCGGAUUUAUUGGGUUUAAAGGGUGCGUAGGCGGUUCACUAAGUCAGCAGUGAAAUACUUCAGCUUAACUGGAGAGGUGCUGUUGAUACUGGAGGACUUGAGUACUGAUGAGGUAGGCGGAAUGGACGGUGUAGCGGUGAAAUGCUUAGAUAUCGUCCAGAACACCGAUAGCGAAGGCAGCUUACUAAGGAGUAACUGACGCUGAGGCACGAAAGUGUGGGGAUCAAACAGG